AAGAGAGGGAAGAAGAAUCUCAGGUGCGGCUCCGACGGCGACGUGUUUGCCUCAUUCUAACUCGUGGCAGGUGACGGAUAAUGAGGCGACGUGCGCCCCCCUCAGGGAAGGAGAUUAAAAUCAAGCGGUGUCGAAUCAGUCCGGAUCGUGUCUCGCCUCUCUCGCCCACCCCAAGACCUUGAUGCAGCAGGAGAGAGAUGAGGUGUUCUGAGGCAAGGACGAGAAGCUGUGGCCCUGCUCAUAAGACUUCUUUGGCUACAAAACCCGAAGUCCCUCAAAUAAUUCUUCCCUCUCUCAAACGAAGAUGAACGGCAGAAAAGAAUACUACAACGAGUGAAUUCCCGAAGCUGUAGCAAACACACCAUUGGCUUUGAGCGCCUCCCAGAUAGCUCGUCCCUUCUUCCUUUCCCCGCCGGUGCUAAGGAUCGGAGGCAAAAAGCCUUGCACGUGAGAUAAGGUUGCUGCUGGGCUACUCAACUCAAGACCAGCCGCCACAAAUUCACUCAAGGGAAGAAAAAUCAAACCACCAAUCACUCGGCGCUUCAGACAAAAGAUCAUGAUGCUUCGGUCGUCGCCUCGAAGCACUACGUCGGUGAGCACCAGUGGUCAGUUACCCUCUGCUGCCAGAGGAGAGUGGAAGUGCUGAUGACUCCCGAGGCCAUAGACGUAGAUCCAAGCUGGGGAGAGUGAAUCACCUUGCUGCCCCACAAGUCCCAGCCCCUUGGUACCCCCGCCCCUUACCAAGAAACUGUCACCCUGCCUGCAGCGCUCCACUCACCGUGUGCUGAGGGAGGCGAUGGUGCGGAUGAGGAUCUGCUGGGGCGCCAGGCUGUGGGCCAGGAGGUGCUGCUGCUCCUGCCAGCCGUCCCUCGCCCAGCUCCCUGCCCCCGCCCCGCCUGCAACGUUUAGGUCAUCCUCGGAGUCAUCGUAGCGGUGGGGGGCUCCUCGGAAGUCCUCUCGCUCGCAGGAUCUGGAAAGAGAAGGGAGGAGGUGACACCUGAAGGAAGACGUGACUCCUUUUAGUGGAGACAUCACGGGCUGGCAGGCAUUGAUGUGGAGACUGAGCAUUCUCUGAGGACCUGGGUGAGACAAUUCAAAGAUGGCAGAAAAGUAACUGCAUUCACGCCCACAUUACAGAGGGGGACAUAUUUUCAGCACGGCAGUCUUUGAAAUUCCUCACCCAGUUACUCAAAAAUUUCCUUUGUUCAGUGUCUGGCUAUAUCGAAUGGGGGUGUUGAUCUGUACAGUUACAAGAAUUACUUUGAAUAAACUUAAGGGGACAUUCAAA
This is a long non-coding RNA of Eriocheir sinensis (Chinese mitten crab), 1288 nucleotides long. RefSeq lists it as uncharacterized. The transcript is spliced from 9 exons. The record is from RefSeq and is a predicted model, not a curated record. Lineage: Eukaryota; Metazoa; Arthropoda; Malacostraca; Decapoda; Varunidae.